This 46-nucleotide non-coding RNA is filed under the name Trichobilharzia regenti. Lineage: Eukaryota; Metazoa; Platyhelminthes; Trematoda; Strigeidida; Schistosomatidae. The record is from RNAcentral.
AUACUGCUGAAGAGUCUCAAACUAGGACGAAACAGCUGUUCAGUAC